UCCCAGUUCGGAUUGUAGUCUGCAACUCGACUGCAUGAAGCUGGAAUCGCUAGUAAUCGCGAAUCAGAAUGUCGCGGUGAAUACGUUCCCGGGUCUUGUACACACCGCCCGUCACACCAUGGGAGCCGACAACGCCCGAAGUCAGUGACCUAACCGAGAGGGAGGAGCUGCCGAAGGCGGGGUUGGUAACUGGGGUGAAGUCGUAACAAGGUACC
This 215-nucleotide ribosomal RNA is filed under the name uncultured bacterium. RNAcentral's name for it is "partial 16S ribosomal RNA". It matches the Rfam family "Bacterial small subunit ribosomal RNA", at positions 1286 to 1500 of the family's 1533-position model. The record is from RNAcentral.